This 684-nucleotide ribosomal RNA is filed under the name uncultured Lachnospiraceae bacterium. Its description in RNAcentral is "bacterial SSU rRNA". It matches the Rfam family "Bacterial small subunit ribosomal RNA", at positions 64 to 755 of the family's 1533-position model. Lineage: Bacteria; Bacillati; Bacillota; Clostridia; Lachnospirales; Lachnospiraceae. The record is from RNAcentral.
GAACGGAGUUGUGUUGAAAGCUUGCUGGAUAUACAACUUAGUGGCGGACGGGUGAGUAACACGUGAGUAACCUGCCUUUCAGAGUGGAAUAACGUUUGGAAACGAACGCUAAUACCGCAUAACAUGAAAGAACGGCAUCGUUCUUUCAUCAAAGAUUUUAUCGCUGAGAGAUGGGCUCGCGGCCGAUUAGGUAGUUGGUGAGAUAACAGCCCACCAAGCCGACGAUCGGUAGCCGGACUGAGAGGUUGAACGGCCACAUUGGGACUGAGACACGGCCCAGACUCCUACGGGAGGCAGCAGUGGGGGAUAUUGCACAAUGGAGGAAACUCUGAUGCAGCGACGCCGCGUGAGGGAAGACGGUCUUCGGAUUGUAAACCUCUGUCUUUAGGGACGAAAAAAUGACGGUACCUAAGGAGGAAGCCACGGCUAACUACGUGCCAGCAGCCGCGGUAAUACGUAGGUGGCAAGCGUUGUCCGGAAUUACUGGGUGUAAAGGGAGCGUAGGCGGGGAGACAAGUUGAAUGUUUAAACUAUCGGCUCAACUGAUAGUCGCGUUCAAAACUAUCACUCUUGAGUGCAGUAGAGGUAGGCGGAAUUCCUAGUGUAGCGGUGAAAUGCGUAGAUAUUAGGAGGAACACCAGUGGCGAAGGCGGCCUACUGGGCUGUAACUGACGCUGAGGCUCG